GUGCGCGACCCCGAGCUGACGCGCGGCCCUGUUUCAGCUCCGAGGGCGGUGUGACGCGCUGCGGCGGCGGUGUUCGCGAGCUGAGAGGCGAGACGAAGUUCAGGGUAUUUUGGGGGGAAUUUGGAAGAUUUCCGGACACUGCGCUGGCUGUAAGCGGCGCACUCAGCUCCUGGCUCCGGCGGGCUCCCUGCACACCAGCACCGUUACUCGGGCCACGGACACGGCAUGGACACCGGGGGGCCGCUGGAGCGCUCCUGCUGGGGCGCUGAGGAUGAGCUGCAGUGGAGGAGGGACGGCCUGGAUCUUCCCCCAGACCGUGAGUAGGGUACAGGGGCAGAGGGGGAUUCGCGGGGUCUUCACCUUGCAGUAGGGGGGCAAU
This 379-nucleotide long non-coding RNA is filed under the name Lepisosteus oculatus (spotted gar). RNAcentral's name for it is "lncRNA (ENSLOCG00000023087.1)". The record is from RNAcentral. Lineage: Eukaryota; Metazoa; Chordata; Actinopteri; Semionotiformes; Lepisosteidae.